AGAGUUUGAUCCUGGCUCAGAGCGAACGCUGGCGGCAGGCCUAAUACAUGCAAGUCGAGCGCCCCUUCGGGGGAGCGGCGGACGGGUGAGUAACGCGUGGGAACGUGCCCUUUGGUUCGGAACAACACAGGGAAACUUGUGCUAAUACCGAAUGUGCCCUUCGGGGGAAAGAUUUAUCGCCAUUGGAGCGGCCCGCGUUGGAUUAGGUAGUUGGUGAGGUAAAGGCUCACCAAGCCUACGAUCCAUAGCUGGUCUGAGAGGAUGAUCAGCCACACUGGGACUGAGACACGGCCCAGACUCCUACGGGAGGCAGCAGUAGGGAAUCUUGCGCAAUGGGCGAAAGCCUGACGCAGCCAUGCCGCGUGAAUGAUGAAGGUCUUAGGAUUGUAAAAUUCUUUCACCGGGGAAGAUAAUGACGGUACCCGGAGAAGAAGCCCCGGCUAACUUCGUGCCAGCAGCCGCGGUAAUACGAAGGGGGCUAGCGUUGCUCGGAAUUACUGGGCGUAAAGGGCGCGUAGGCGGACAUUUAAGUUAGAGGUGAAAGCCCAGGGCUCAACCCUGGAAUAGCCUUUAAUACUGGAUGUCUUGAGUUCGGGAGAGGUGAGUGGAACUCCGAGUGUAGAGGUGAAAUUCGUAGAUAUUCGGAAGAACACCAGUGGCGAAGGCGACUCACUGGCCCGAUACUGACGCUGAGGCGCGAAAGCGUGGGGAUCAAACAGGAUUAGAUACCCUAGUAGUCC
Molecule: ribosomal RNA, 740 nt
Filed under: uncultured bacterium
Lineage: Bacteria
Description: bacterial SSU rRNA
Rfam family: Bacterial small subunit ribosomal RNA
Source: RNAcentral